UUGUAUGUUUAAGAAUUUCGAAAUUUCUGGGAAUGUUUCGCGCAGUCUUUAUUUUAAUGUAUCAUUCUAUAGCUAAGUAGACAUGUCGUUGGGAAGCACAACUAUGCUACACUGACUGUGUCUGUAAAAUUCCUAUGUACAAAAAUGGCAAAAAAUAUCUAUAGAGUAACGUCCCUGCUAAACUGAAGUCUUCAUGAUUCAGCUCUGGAGUUCCCACUGAAGAUAUUUUUUUAAGCAUACACACACACGGUAUACAGUUAUAAAUGAAACAAAAG
This 275-nucleotide long non-coding RNA is filed under the name Mytilus galloprovincialis (Mediterranean mussel). Lineage: Eukaryota; Metazoa; Mollusca; Bivalvia; Mytilida; Mytilidae. The record is from RNAcentral.